This 431-nucleotide ribosomal RNA is filed under the name uncultured bacterium. RNAcentral's name for it is "partial 16S ribosomal RNA". It matches the Rfam family "Bacterial small subunit ribosomal RNA", at positions 29 to 507 of the family's 1533-position model. The record is from RNAcentral.
AACGAACGCUGGCGGCAGGCUUAACACAUGCAAGUCGAACGCCCCGCAAGGGGAGUGGCCGACGGGUGAGUAACGCGUGGGAAUCUACCCAUCCCUACGGAAUAACGCAUGGAAACGUGUGCUAAUACCGUAUACGCCCUACGGGGGAAAGAUUUAUCGGGGAUGGAUGAGCCCGCGUUGGAUUAGCUAGUCGGUGGGGUAAAGGCCUACCAAGGCGACGAUCCAUAGCUGGUCUGAGAGGAUGAUCAGCCACAUUGGGACUGAGACACGGCCCAAACUCCUACGGGAGGCAGCAGUGGGGAAUAUUGGACAAUGGGCGCAAGCCUGAUCCAGCCAUGCCGCGUGAGUGAUGAAGGCCUUAGGGUUGUAAAGCUCUUUCACCGGAGAAGAUAAUGACGGUAUCCGGAGAAGAAGCCCCGGCUAACUUCGUG